UACGGGGGGGGCAAGCGUUGUUCGGAAUUACUGGGCGUAAAGGGCUCGUAGGCGGCUUGCUAAGUCAGACGUGAAAGCCCUCGGCUCAACCGGGGAACGGCGUCUGAGACUGGCAAGCUGGAAUCCGGGAGAGGGAUGCGGAAUUCCAGGUGUAGCGGUGAAAUGCGUAGAUAUCUGGAGGAACAUCGGUGGCGAAGGCGGCAUCCUGGACCGGCAUUGACGCUGAGGAGCGAAAGCCAGGGGAGCAAACGGG
RNAcentral lists this ribosomal RNA (253 nucleotides) under uncultured bacterium. Its description in RNAcentral is "partial 16S ribosomal RNA". It matches the Rfam family "Bacterial small subunit ribosomal RNA", at positions 524 to 776 of the family's 1533-position model. The record is from RNAcentral.